Molecule: non-coding RNA, 313 nt
Filed under: Enterobacter cloacae
Lineage: Bacteria; Pseudomonadati; Pseudomonadota; Gammaproteobacteria; Enterobacterales; Enterobacteriaceae
Description: MicL sRNA
Rfam family: MicL sRNA
About the family: mRNA-interfering complementary RNA regulator of Lpp. Transcription factor sigma E dependant sRNA. Together with MicA and RybB it allows sigma E to repress the synthesis of all abundant outer membrane proteins in response to stress.
Source: RNAcentral
AUGGCGGGUGCGGGAGUCCGUGCCAGCAAUCUGGAACUGUUUUUAAACGCGGGGGUGGAAGAGCUUCACAGCUCUGCCGGGAAAUGGAUACCGUCGCCCAUGCGUUAUCGCAAUACAGGGUUGUCUAUGUCGACGGAUGCUGAAGCGGAUGAGUACUCACGCUACGGUGUAGAUGGAGAGUCGGUUGCGGAAAUGAAAUCGCUGAUUGAACGUCAUCACGUGUAGCAACGUACCGAUUUUUACCGCGCAUCAUGUCGCCCAAUAUGAUGCUUGCUUGUACCAGGCCCCUGCCAAUUACACAGGGGCCUUUUUU